This 246-nucleotide ribosomal RNA is filed under the name uncultured bacterium. Its description in RNAcentral is "partial 16S ribosomal RNA". It matches the Rfam family "Bacterial small subunit ribosomal RNA", at positions 118 to 347 of the family's 1533-position model. The record is from RNAcentral.
UGGGUAACCUGCCUCAAAGAGGGGAAUAGCCUCCCGAAAGGGAGAUUAAUACCGCAUAAUAUGUUUUAAUCGCAUGAUUUUAACACCAAAGGAUUUUCUUCGGAACUUCCACUUUGAGAUGGACCCGCGGCGCAUUAGCUAGUUGGUGAGGUAACGGCUCACCAAGGCAACGAUGCGUAGCCGACCUGAGAGGGUGAUCGGCCACAUUGGAACUGAGACACGGUCCAGACCUCCGUACGGGAGCAG